AGCAUGCAUGACACACUGGGUAGACCUGGGGAUGUGGAAGGGAAUGUUGAAGAGAAUAUCAAACUUUGCUACUGCCUGUUUGAGAUUGAGCUGCUGUAUAUCAUUUUCUUGUUUUUAGCUGGGAUAAUAUUACUUCUCCAUACAAGAGAUAUUCUCUGGGCGUAGAGGCACUUUCCCCAUGACUUUUCUUUACAGGUGGGGGAGGUGAAUGCACAGUUCCUUUACUAGUCACAUCUCAGUAGCCUGGGACAGAAAUCAAGUAUCUUAUCUUGAUAAGUAUGUUAUCAGGUGUCUUAUCAAGUACAGGUAAGAAUUGAAAGACCUGGGGAAGUUUAACCUGGAGGAGAGUGAAUAUAAGGGGUUAAUAGGGCAUCUCUCUUCAAAAAGCUGAAAGAUAGGCACGUGGAAAGCAGAAUAAACUUAUGUCAACUUCUGUAGAAGACAGUACUAGGACCAAUGGAUCAAAGUUGUAGGAAGGUGGAUUUUUAGGUCUUCUAAAAAGAGACCUGGCAAUAAGAGCUGGUUUCUUCUGUUCAAAAGUAGUUAGCACCAGCUACUUCUUAGGGAUUGUCAAAGGAAUUCCUGAUUGAGAGAAAGUCUGAACUAAGGGGGACUUGCUUAUUUGAAGACUACAUCUAAUAUUUUUCAUGUGUCAUAAUGCCUAUGAAGAGAAGUGGCUUGCCUCAGACUCUUGCUUAAACAAACCUUAGUUCAUUUCUACUAGUUCCUACCCAAAAGUGAAAUUUUCCUUUAAGAAUAUAAGGGACCUCUCAGAAUUCAAGGAAUAGUUGUACAGCUAGGCUCAGGAAAAAGAACUAAGAUAGCUGUGAGGAACUCAACUGCACCUUUGUUUUAAUACUCUGCCUCACUGACAUGGUUAGUUUCCAAAUACCAGCUUAUGUGCCUUUAAUUUGAAAUUUUCAUAUGAGAUGCUCUGAUUGCCUUGUUUUGAGUCAUGAGUCUACCCUUGAUCCAAUCAGCUAUAGACAAGAAGAAAGGGUCAUAUAAUAGAAGUAAGAUUAAAAUGGUGGCAGGCCUAGGCUUUCUCCUCUGGAUAGUGGUCAAUAGCUCUAAGAGGGGAGAUAGAGUAAGUCACAGACUAGCUAGACACCCCCCAAAAUAUUUAUUACAUUUUCAAAAAUGUCAGCCAGGAUUUCGGCUGUUUGAGUCUGUUUUGGACAACCGAUAUUUAUUAUGUAAUUAUUAUAUGCAAGGUGCCACGAUAGAUGAUAGGCAGAAUGUAAAAUAUAAUAUAUGUUCCCUGACCUCUGGGUACUUACAAUCACUUUGUCCAUUAGACUGUUCAUUGUUUAAUUGGUUAUCUUGUGUGAAUUUCACUUUGGGAGGACUAACCUACUAAUUAUGUAGAGGCUCCAUAUAAACUUGAGAACAUUUCUCAGUUGUAUAUUAAAGACAUUUGCUUUUUCUAAAUGUCCACACAUGUAAUAUUUGUAUAGGUCAAUGCUAAAAGACUGUCAUAAGCUCAAGUCCCCCAAAUAAGCAAAAUGCCCAAUCCUUCCUCCCCAAACAAAGAUAAUGAGUUGUAUGUCUUACAUUGCUGGGAAUAUAUCACAUUAAAACGUGUGCUUAUUUUUAUAUGUACAUAAGGUGGAAUAUAACAUUAAAUUUUUUUUAAUGUUUAUUUUUGAGAGAGAGAGAGACAGAGCUCGAGCAGGGAAGGGGCAGAGAGAGAGAGAGGAGACACAGAAUCUGAAGCAGUCUCCAGGCUCUGAGCUGUCAGCACAGACCGGAUGUGGGGCUCAAACCCACAAACUGUGAGAUUAUAACCUAAGCUGAAGUCAGAUGCUAAACCGACUCAGCCACCCAGGAUCCCUGAAGAUAACAAAUGUUUUAAGUGUCUGUGAGCUACCCAAUAUGCUAGGAAUAGGAAGCAUAUCAACUAGUACAACAGAUGGUUACAUAGAGUGGAGAAGACAGAGGUGAGAAUGAGAGAGAAAUAAUCUUUUUGUUUCUCAAAGCCAUGAGCAGGAAUAAUAAAGCAUUGUAUGCAUAUGGGGGUGUUUUGUUAUUGUGUUCAUUUUUAUUCUGAAUAGAGAAAGGACUCUUCAUAAAGAAAUGAAUAAAUCUUUUUUUAAGUUUUUAUUUAAAUUCCAGUUAGUCAACAUACAGUGUAACAUUAGUAAUACUAACUACAGUAAAAUGUUAGUAAUUCAACACUUAUAUACAACACCAGUGCUCAUGAUAACAAGUGCCCUCCUUAAUCCCCAUCACCUGUUUAACCCAUUCCCCUACCCGCCUCCCCUCUGGUAAUCAUCAGUUUGUUCUCUAUGGUUAAGGGUCUGUUUCUUGGUUUUCCUCUCUUUUUACCCCGCACCGCCACUCCAAGUUUGCUUUGUUUCUUGAAUUCCACAUAUGAGUGAAAUCCUGUGGUGUUUAUCUUAGCAUAAUACUCUCUAGCUCCAUCCAUGUCAUUGUAAAUGGCAAGAUUUCAUUCCUUUUAUGGCUGAGUAAUAUUCCAUUAUAUAUAUACACUACAUCUUCUUUAUCCAUUCAUCAACAGAUGGACAUUUGGCUGCUUCCAUAAUUUGGCUAUUGUUGCUAAUGCUGCUAUAAACAUCAGGGUGCACGUAUCCCUUUGGAUUUGUACUUUUGUAUUCUUUGAGUAAAUACCUAGUAGUGCAAGGUAUCAUUGGAUCAUAGGGUAGGUCUAUUUUUAGCUUUUUGAGGAAUCUCCAUACUGUUAAGAAAUGAAUAAAUCUUAUUAGAACUUGUUUCAAAUAUAUAUAUUUUUAUUCUCAGAGCGGGAAUGCUAAAUCAUUAUUUAAUUUUUUUUUCAUUAUUUAAAUUUUGUCUCCAUUUAUUUUUUAUUUUUUUAUUUAAAAAAAUUUUUUUUUUAGUGUUUUUAUUUUUGAAGGAGAGAGAGAGAGACAGAGCAUGAGUGGAGGAGGAGCACAGAGACAGGGAGACACAGAAUUCGAAGGAGGCUCCAGGCUCUGAGCUGUCAGCACAGAGCCCGACGCAGGGCUCGAAUUCACAAACCGCGAGAUCAUGACCUGAGCCGAAGCCGGACGCUCAACCGACCGAGCCACCCAGGUGCCCCUGUCUCCAUUUUUUAAAAUGUUUAUUUAUUUUGAGGGAAAGAGAGACAGAGCAUGAGUGGGGGAGGGGCACAGAGAGCAAGGGAGACACAGAAUCCAAAGCAGGCUCCAGGCUCUGAGCUGUCAGCACAGAGCCUGACGCUGGCUCGAACUCACAACUGCAGGAUCAUGACCUGAACCGAAGUCAGACGUUGAACCGACUGAGCCACCCAGGUGCCCCCCUCCUUUUUUAAAAAAUUGGACAAACCUGUUAACUUUUACUCUAGAAUGUGUCAUAUCUCAUUUUAUAGAGGAAAUACUCAGGUUUAUCACCUUGUGACUUCCUGAUCUUGUGGCAUUUGGAAAUAGUGUUAAUGUUACUGUGGUAGUACUUUGAUUUUGUAACUGUAGACCUACGCACUAUUAACAUUUUUGACUGGAUAAUUCCUGGUUGUGAGGGGCUAUUCUGCCAUUCUAGUGUAUUUAACAGCAUCCCUGGCUUCUACCCCUUUAGAUGCCAGUAGUAAUACCUUCAGAGGCACAAAAAUGCUCUCAACUGAGAAUCACUACUAUAGACAUAGGCGGUGAUUCCCCACAGCAGGUUUCAGUGUGGAUCUCACACAGUAUUCGACAGUCUGAUGCACUCCACCAGUAUUUGUGAUCUGGAACAGCAGAGCAACACAAAGGUACAAAUUUGGGGGCAAUUUUUUUUUCUUUAUUUUUGAGGGGGCAGUAUUUUUUUAAAAGGCCACCACUCAAUUUGGGGAAGAUUCUUGAAGAAUCAUUGAGCUCUUAAUUGGUUGGUUGAUUAAUCAAUUGAUAGAUUCAUUCAUUUAAUAAAAAUAUAUUGAGCUCUUGCUAUAGGCCAGUCUCAGUGUUGGGACACGUGUGUUGCUGUGUGGUUCAUGUGGCUGUAUGUAGUGGGUUGGCGGGAAGUAAGCCCGUAGGUAGACCUGUGAAGAAGCUGUUGGGUGUAAUAUAGGUGAAAAAUGAUGGUUGCCUGGAUUUAGGUAGUGACAGUGGCAUGAUGAGAAGAGAUUUGCUUGAUAUUUAGGAGCUAAAAACAUUAGGAUUUGGUAACUGAUUGGAGCAAGAGAGAAGUCAAGACUAAUUCCCAAGUUUCUGGCUUAGUUAAAAGAGUGACAAGUGGUAGCAUUCAUAAAGACGAGCAGAGUGGGAAGAACAGGAUUCUUUUUGAAGGGGGAGCAGAUACUGAUUUCCGUUUUUAACACUUUUCUUUGGAGGUAGCCUUUGAGAUAUCCAAGAGGAUGAGCUAGACAAUGAACUUGGGAAUUGCAAGGAUCCUAUCUGUUUUGUUCCUUGUUGUAUCCUGUUCUUCAUGUGGUGUCUACCUUUCUAGGGAUGGAAACAGGUUUAGGCUGGAUGUAUAGAUUUGGUAUUUUUCAGGGAAUAGUUGGUUUGAUUGAAAUGAAGGAAGCACAUCAAAGUGUCUAGGGAGAGUUCCUAUAGAAAGAAGAAGGCCUAGCAUUGCAACAUUUUGGGAGGUAUAUUCAAGGAACUGAAGAGGAGGGGCUGCAGAAGUCUGAGGAAAAUCAGGAGUGUCUGAAGACAAGGGAAGAGAGAAUUUUAAAAAGAAGGGAGUGUUUACUGGUUUUGAAUUCAAUUAAAAAGUCAAGUAAGAUGAAGACUGAUAAAAUGACAUUGGAUUUUGCAACUAAAACGUGUUCAUGACUUUUUGAGAACCUUUUUCAGUAGACUGAUGAUUGAAAGAGUUCAGUAAAUUUGGUUAAAUACUAAGUGGGAGUUGAGUGGAUGGAAUGACAGGUGCAGGUCAUGCUUUGAUGUAUUUUGGCUAUAAAGAAGAAAAGAGACUGAAAAUAGUAUAUGACGGAGGUAUGGGCUGCAGGAGGGCACGAGGGUUUGAACAUGUUUAAAUGCUGACAGGAAGGAGACAAUGGAGACAGAGAGGUUGGUAUAGGAGAGGAGAACAUGUAGAUGGGAGCAACUUGAGAUGGGAUGAGUCCAGAACACAGGGAGAAGGACUGCUCUUAGAUAGGGGUAGGGUACCCUUCAAACUGGAGGGAUAUUGUUAGUGAUAGAGAAGGUCCAUAUUCUACUGGGAUUAGCUUCCAGUCUUGGGAGUCUUUCAGGAAUUAUACUUCUGGGGCUUCCUAAUGGUUCAGAGUGACAGAAACAUUAAGAGACCUCUGGCAAAAUCCAUACCGUUUCUGAAUUCCCUGGGGUCCAUUGAUCCCCAGAGGUUGGAUCCAUUUGAUUAUUUGUCUUUAUUUUCAGUAGCAGGCAUAUAUUAGAAUUGGAUUCUGAACCUAUGGAUUAGGUUAGGAUUUGGGGUCCAAUUCUUGUCUAAAUAAUCAGAGCAGAGGGUAUUUUGAGUCCCUCAGGAAACUUAGCCAGGUGUUGAAGUACAACCUGGAGAUCACCUAGAUCCCAUAUUUUAAUGAGCAAAUAUGCCAUUCUCAUUAUGACUCUUCAUUAUUACUAAUCUAUAUGAUGGAUUGUUGAUUGUAGAAAACUCUGUUAUCAUACUAUUAAGCUUAAAUUUUACCGUUCAAAUGUUAAAAGGUUGAUUAUAGUUCAGGUUCUUCUGUGGCUUGAUAGAGGAUAUUCUUUGGAGCCAGAAAAAAACUAGAUUCAAAUCCUGAUUCCAUCACUCCAUUACAGACUGAGCCUCUGUGGCCUUGAGCAUGUCAUUUAUUCUUUAAUAUCGUCACGGGAAUACCUGGUAAUGUCUAAUUUGCAUCACAGUCACAAAGAUUAGAGGUCUUGCAUAUAUGCCAGCACAGUGUUGAUAUUAAUAAAUAGGAGCUGAUAUUAUUUUUAAUUAUAUAAAAAUAAUUUAUUAUUUACUAUUAGAAGACCCUUAGUGAGCAUACUCUGAAUUAAUUGUUAGAGUACCAAAUCAAGGGGCACCUGGGUGGCUCAGUUGGUUGAGCAUCUGACCUUUGAUUUCGGCUCAGGUCAUAAUCUUAUGGCUCAUAGGCUCGAGCCCCGUGUCAGGCUCUGCACUCCCAGCAUGGAGCCUGCUUGGGAUUCUCUUUCUCCAUUUCUCUUUGCCCUUCCCCUGCAUGUGCAAACACAUUCUCUCUCUCUCUCUCUCUCUCUCUCUCUCUCUCUCUCUCUCUCUGUCUCUCAAAAUGAAUAAGUAAACUAUUUUUUUUAAAGCAUACCAAAUCAAAAUUGAGGAUUUUCUUUUUUAUCAUGGGUCUAAGAGAGAUUAAUGGUGAUGUCCUUGGUAUAAAUUUUGGUAGUCUCAGAAAUUUUGCAAUAAUCCUGGGCCAACUAAAAACAACUUUUAUUGGCCUACAUAUCAUCAUAGUAAAUAAAGAGAAAAGAGGUAAAAUUCUCGAUUUUUAAAGUAUAUGGAAACAAAUUUUAUUGGAUCCCUGUUAUUUUCCAUUAGUGUAUCUUAGCUAGAACAUGUCAUGGUUUUACAGAGUUAGCCUCUUCAAUCCUUUUUUUCUUCUGUUUAAUAACUUCUUUUCCCCCUUCUUCCUUUGCUUCAGAUUAUUGGAAACCUUCUCAUUGUUGCAGCAUUUGGUACUGUCAGUCACGCCAGGAAAGCUUCUUACACACUAGAAAUGCUGUGGGAUGUGUGUGUGAGAGAGAGAGAAAGAGAGGGGAAGAGCUGGGGAAAGAGUGGGGGCAGAAGAGGAAGAAUGGUGUCUAGGAUAAUUGUGCUGGUGUUUUUCCAAGUAUCUUCAGAGACCUGUUUGUCUCUGGUUUAGGUACUCUAUGGGCCUAACUGUUCAAAAUAACAACUCAGAAGAAAAAAAAGGUUUUAUGAACUUUUCAGGUUAAGUCAUCUUUAUUUUAUUCCCUGGGCCCCUUUACCUAUAUCCUCCUCCCCACCUGUACCAUCAUUUCAACACUGAAGCACCCGAUUCCCUGGAGUAUUAAUGGAGACAGUUCAAGUAUCUGCUCCAUUUCCUUUGUUCUAGUUGCUUUUGGUCUUUGCUGGGAAAUGCUCUGAAGACUGAACCAGCUUCUGAACACAAAGGCUGGCGGUGUUGUCCCUCCUGGUAAUGCACCGUGGGAUUUGUUCCCACUGCCUGUUCAUGACUCAUUAGUCCCUAAGUGCAGAAAAGGUUGCUUCUGGAAUAAAAAGAAUGGACCCAUCUCAGCGUCCUUUUUCACUUUUUCCUGUGUUUUAUUUGGGUGCACUCACAGCCCUUCACCUUCAUUAGUGAGCUGACAGGGGGCUGGCACAGUGCGAGAGAAGCUUUUGCUGGUUCCCUGAGGUAUAUCAGAGAUCUCAGAACUCAAUACCUUACCAUAAAAAUACUGUGCUUCAAACAACCUCUGGAUGGAACAAAGCCAUACAUUCCAAUCUGCUUGAGCCUCUCAAGUUGCCAUCCUUGCCAAGAACCAGCUUUUUUCCCUUCUCUGAAUGUAGUUCUUUUGGUAUCCUUUGUAUCAGGUAAAUGUUUCUGUGUGUAUGAAAAAGCAAGCUUUGGGCAAGGGCCAUUAUAUUUAUUUAUUUAUUUUUCAGUUUUUAUUUGUUUAUUUUGAGAGAGAGUAUGUGGGAAAGGUAGAGAGAGAGGGAGAGAGAAAGAAUCCCAGGCAGGCUCUGCACUGUUGGACGGAGCCUGAUGCGGGCAUCAAACUCACCCAAAGUGGGGCUUGAACUCACAACCUCCAGAUAAGACCCAAGGUGAAGUCAGAUGCUUAAUCGACUGAACCACCCAGACAUCCCAGAACCAAUGUAUUUAAAGCACACUUCAGGACAGUAGUUUCUUAUGAGAGAUGUAGGCAGCAGAUAUUUGUGGGCUUUUAUGCCCCAAGUGAUAUCAUUUCAGAUUUAUAUCUAAUAUUUGGGAAAGUCCAUGAAAAGUAGAGAUGCUGUAAAAAAAAACAACUGAGUUGCAUAUUUAUAAUUCAAGUUGUUUUUCCUAAUUUUCCCAAGUGAUCAAAUUAUUUUCAUAUUUAAAGCCCAGACAUCUGGAGAACUGUCUCUGACUCCAGAUCCACAUGUGUGUAUGAAUUCAGGAAUUGAGUGUGACACUAACAUGAACAAUGUCUAUCAAACCUUCCUUUAAAGUAUUUGGAGUGCCUGGGUGGCUCAGUUGGUUGAGUGACCGACUCCUGAUUUCAGCUCAGGUCAUGAUCCCAGGGUUUUGGGAUUGAGCCCCCACAUCAAGGCUCACGUCAGGCUCCAUGCUGAGCAUGGAAUGUGCUUAAGAUUCUCUCUCUCUCUCUCUCUCUCUCUCUCUCUCUCUCUCUCCCCCUCCCCCCCCCCUCUCUGCCCCUCUCGCCAAUUCGCGUGUGCUCUCUCUCUCUCUCAAAAUAAAUAAACAAACCUAAAACAAAUGUUUAAGUUUACCUAGAGGUUGCCUUUGGAUAUAUUAGCAUUGUUUGAGGUAACAGAUUCAGUAUUUGGAGUACAAUGUAAGAGUUUAGUAUGGACUAAAAGGCCAUGCUGUAUCAUGGAUGCUGUUUGAAAGAGGACUUAAUGAAAAUGAGAGAAGGCUAUGUACAGUACAUUGCCAUUUAUGAAAAAUUUAAAACAUAUAUAUGCAUAAAACAGUACUUCAUUUUUCAAAUAAAUAAGACAGAUGUCAGAUAAUUAAGUGAUUGCUUAUGUAGGAAUAGGAGACAAUGGGGAUUGGACAUAAAGGGGAAAAUCAAUAAAAACACAUAAACCAGGAGAAGGGCCUUCCACAGACUGAUAGUAAUAGUAUACUCUGGGCUGGGAAGUGUGUUUAACCCAGUAGUCUGGACAUGAGGUGCAUAUAAUUUGGGAGAGGUGACCGGAAAAUAGGUUCGGCGACAGCCAAAAAAAUGGUCAAAUGAAGGAAAACAGAAAUAAAAUAUUUUAAGUGUUAUGAUUCAUAAGCAAGAGGCCUUUAAGGAAGAAAAAUACCCCUAAAUACUACAUCUGGUUGUGCCCUUUUGGUUUUUGAAGCUUUUGUGGGAGAAAUAGUAAUUUCUCUUUUUUUCCCUUAGGUGAAGAUGUCUAUAAUAAGGAAAGCAGAUGUUUCUUUUCAAGUGCAUGUGUACACCUGCCAUAAGACAAAAUGAGUAGCUACUACUGAGAACAGGCUCUGGUUAUCUUUUAUGUUGCUUGUUAAAUUAAAAUUCUCUUCCUGGCAAGUAUAGGUUUGUAAUUAAGUCAUUUAUCAUAUGUUCUUUAGGCUACAUCUUAAACUUGAUGAUAAACAAAAGUGAUAUGUGGGUGGUUACUUAGAAAUUAGAUGGAUGAGUUAUUUUACUGGCCUCUGUCAUUUGAUGGUAGGUUCUUCCUGUUUAUAAUAGACAUUGAACAUUGGCUCAUUAUAUGCAACUGAAGGGAGCAAAAAAGAUCUUGGUCUAGAACUGUGUUCUCAACUUACUGUCAACCUACCAACACUCUUGAGGAGAUGAUACACUCCCAUUAGUAGAAGUGGCACUCUCUGGGCUCCAAACUCAAUUACUUAUAGGGUAAAGGAGUCUUCCUGUGCCAGAUACAGAUUUCCUUCCCCUCACUUUCAUGACACUGUUUUUUGCUAUAUUAGUUCUGUUGGUAUUCUGCCUCACGCCCGUUCACUUAUCUUAUGUCCACAUACUCAACACUUGAUAAUUUCAUUCAUUCCUUAUUACAACCUGUAUAUUAUACAUUUUUUUAAUGUCUAUUCAUUUUUGAGAGUGAGAGAGAGUGUGCGCACAUACACGAAUGAGUGGGGGAGGGGCAGAGAGAGAGGGAGACACAGAAUCUGAAGCAGGCUCUGAAACUGAUGUGGGGCUCGAACUCUCGAACCACGAGAUCAUGACUUGAGCUGAAGUCGGCACUUAACCAAUUGAGCCACCUCGGUGCCCCUACAACCUGCACAUUAUAGAUAAAGGAAACAGACUCCAAAAGGUUAAGUGAUUUUUCUAUGGCCAUACAGCUAUAGGUAACAGAACCAGGAUUAGAAGCCAAACCUAACUCCAAAGCUCAUCUUUUCCCCUUCCUGACUACACUGUGUUUUUCACGGGCUACAUUCUACAAAAGCCAUAUUUGUGUAGAGUGUGAUGUCUUCAUUAGACUCCUUAAUUUUUUAAGGGGACUUUAUUCCUACCCUCUGCUCCAGCUAUUGCUUAAUGGAUGUGGUGCUUUUAAGCACACAAAAUAUCCGUGUUCAGGUUCCUUUUCGAGAUGAGAUUUUUGAACUCUGUGUUGUCCAGUUGCUCAAAAGCCUACUUCUGAGAAAUGUUAUUUAUAGAAUAGUGGUGUUAAGUCACUGGCUUCAGUGAUGGAUGUUAUAGCAAAUAGCUGGAUGAAAUUCACUAUUCUGUCUGUGAGUUUUUAAUGAGAAGGCCACUUACUGUACUAUACCACAUCAUCUUUGGGAGGACCUGGAAUGGCAUUCUUUUCAGAUCUCAGGAUUUGGAAACACUGACUCGUUUUCUAAAAAAUCUCGUGGCUGUUAUGAAUCUUAUACUUGAUUGUACUUUCUUCUUUAUUUUGGUUACUAGGAAGGUUAGAGCCAAAUUUGCAGACCAUCUCUAAUACCCGUGGAGGAAUAAGCAAUAUAUAUUUGUGUGCUGAUCUUAAUCCUAGCAUUAUUUUCCUGUCUAUGUUCCUCUUUGAUCUCAUGUUUGUUAAUUAAAAAUUUUUUGCAUUGAAUGCAUUUUCAUAAACUGUGACAUAUCCCUUCACUGGUGAUGAAUAUAAAUGUACAAAUAACAUGUGUAAGGUCAACUGAAGCUUUCCUGACUUGAUGGUUAAUUCACCUUCCUGCUAGGAGUUCCAUGUACACACAUCCAUCUUCUUCAUUUGCUUUCCUCCUUUCUUUCAUCUUCUCCUAAUUUUCUGUUGUUUAUUAUGGAUUUCUCUCUCAAAGAACAGAUUAGUAGAAUUUCAGUGGUCCUUUUUAUUGUUGAGUAUGAACAUAAAGAGUUAUUUUUCUGAAAAAUUAGUCUUUUCAUGUAUAUUUCUCCAGGUUCAAUUUUUAGUAAAGGUAUAAAUUUAAUUUUUAUGAAAACAUUGAAUUUUCACUAACUUGAUUGCUUUCAUGAGGAUAAGAGUAAGGAAAUUUGUAGUCUUAAAAGGGUGCCAUUAUAGAAGUUUUUGAGUAUUUAUAUAGAAUAGAAUGAUAUUUCCAGCUUGUUCUCAUAAAAUUAAUGAAUUCCCUAUCUGUUGCCUCAUGGCCAUCUCUAAUUGGAUGUUCAAAUGGUACUUUGGAUGGCACUUCAAAUUGUCUGAAACUUCACAUAUAAUCUCCCCCCCCCCACAAUAAAGUUAUCUCUACCCUUUCCUUACCCCGUUUCUCACUCCAUUUCUUAUUUUGAUGAAUGGUACUGCUCUGCACCUACUCACCUGAACCACAUACAUGGCCAUCAUAUUAGAUGCCUCUAAUAUGUCACACAGUUUUUUAUGUUUUACCUACUUCACAGCUUUUUAAAAAGUAUUUAAAAUUUUUUAAAUUUUAUUUUAUUAAAAAUUUUUUUAAAAAAUGUUUAUUUAUUUUUGGGAGAGAGACAGAGCAAAAACAGGGCGAGAGGGGGUGUGUGCAGAGAGAGAGGGAGACACAGAAUCUGAAGCAGGCUCCAGGCUCUGAGCUUUAGCACAGAGCCUGGCACAGGGCUUGAACUCACGAGCUGUGAGAUCAUGACCUGAGCUGAAGUCAGAUGCUUAACCGACUGAUCCACCCAGGCGCCCCCCCGCCCAAUUUUUAUUUGAGAGAGAGAGAGAGAGAGAGAGAGAGAGAGAGAGAGAGCACUCACAUGAGCAGAGGAGAAGGGCAGAGAGAGAGAGAGAGAGAGAGAGAGAGAGAGAGA
Long non-coding RNA from Panthera uncia (snow leopard), 11756 nucleotides. RefSeq lists it as uncharacterized. The record is from RefSeq and is a predicted model, not a curated record. NCBI's taxonomy places the organism in Eukaryota, Metazoa, Chordata, Mammalia, Carnivora, Felidae. The transcript is spliced from 2 exons.